RNAcentral lists this microRNA (21 nucleotides) under Prunus persica (peach). RNAcentral describes it as "ppe-miR6288b-3p". The record is from miRBase by way of RNAcentral. Lineage: Eukaryota; Viridiplantae; Streptophyta; Magnoliopsida; Rosales; Rosaceae.
UCAAUUAGAAAAUGAUAAGUG